GAUGAACGCUGGCGGCGUGCCUAAUACAUGCAAGUCGAGCGAACGGACGAGAAGCUUGCUUCUCUGAUGUUAGCGGCGGACGGGUGAGUAACACGUGGAUCACCUACCUAUCAGACUGGGAUAACUUCGGGAAACCGGAGCUAAUACCGGAUGAUAUUUUGAACCGCAUGGUUCAAAAGUGAAAGACGGUCUUGCUGUCACUUAUAGAUGGAUCCGCGCUGCAUUAGCUAGUUGGUAGGGUAACGGCUUACCAAGGCAACGAUGCAUAGCCGACCUGAGAGGGGGGUCGGCCACACGGGAGCGGAGACACGGUCCAGACGCCUACGGGAGGCAGCAGUAGGGUAUCUUCCGCAAUGGGCGAAAGCAUGACGGAGCAGCGCCGCGUGAGUGAUGAAGGUCUUCGGAUCGUAAAACUCUGUUAUUGGGGAAGAACAUAUGUGUAAGUAACUGUGCACAUCUUGACGGUACCUAGUCAGAAAGCCACGGCUAACUACGUG
This 497-nucleotide ribosomal RNA is filed under the name uncultured bacterium. Its description in RNAcentral is "partial 16S ribosomal RNA". It matches the Rfam family "Bacterial small subunit ribosomal RNA", at positions 28 to 507 of the family's 1533-position model. The record is from RNAcentral.